This is an unclassified non-coding RNA of Papio anubis (olive baboon), 284 nucleotides long. It matches the Rfam family "Metazoan signal recognition particle RNA". Rfam says of the family: The signal recognition particle (SRP) is a universally conserved ribonucleoprotein. It is involved in the co-translational targeting of proteins to membranes. The eukaryotic SRP consists of a 300-nucleotide 7S RNA and six proteins: SRPs 72, 68, 54, 19, 14, and 9. The record is from Ensembl. NCBI's taxonomy places the organism in Eukaryota, Metazoa, Chordata, Mammalia, Primates, Cercopithecidae.
GCCGGGCAUGGUGGCAUGUGCCUGUAGUGCCAGCUACUCAGGAGGCUAAGGCAGGAGGAUCACUUGAGUCCAAGAGUUCUGGGUUGUAAUGCACUAUGUCUAUCAGGUGUUUGCACUAAGUUCAGCAUCAACAUAGUGACCUCCCGGGAGUGGGAGGUUGCCUAUGAACCAGCCCAGGUUGGAAAUGGAGAAGUUCAAAACUCCCAUGCUGAUCGGUAUUGGGACUGUACCUGUGAAUAGCCACUGCACUCCAGACUGGGCAACACAGCGAGACCCUGUCCCUA